This 468-nucleotide ribosomal RNA is filed under the name uncultured bacterium. RNAcentral's name for it is "partial 16S ribosomal RNA". It matches the Rfam family "Bacterial small subunit ribosomal RNA", at positions 28 to 507 of the family's 1533-position model. The record is from RNAcentral.
GACGAACGCUGGCGGCGUGCUUAACACAUGCAAGUCGAACGGAAAGGCCCUGCGUUUGUGGGGUGCUCGUUUGGCGAACGGGGGAGUAACACGUGUGUAACCUGCCCUUGUCUUUCGGAGAACAUCAGGAAACUGGGGCUAAUAUCGGAUAGAAGCUCCUGCUCCACGGGGGGCGUUGGAAAGUUUCGGCGGUUGGGGAUGGACUCGCGGCUUAUCAGCUUGUUGGUGGGGUAGGGGAUGACCAAGGCUGUGACGGGUAGCCGGCCUGAGAGGGUGACCGGCGUCAUUAGGACUGAGGUAGGGCGCAGUCGGCUAUGGGCGGCAGUAGUGGAGAAUAUGACACAGUGGGCGGAAGUGUGAGGCGGAGGCGCCGCGUUCGUGAUGACGGCUUUCGGGGUAUAAACAGCUGUCGACUGUGACGAAGCGUGAGUGACGGUAAUGAAUAAAGAAGCACCGGCUAACUACGUG